AAUAUACUGUGGGGACGAAAGUCUCUGCUUUUAACUAGAUAGCAACUUUCAGCAGUGGAUGUCUAGGCUCGCACAUCGAUGAAGAACGCUGCGAACUGCGAUACGUAAUGCGAAUUGCAGGAUUCAGUGAGUCAUCGAAAUUUUGAACGCAUAUUGCACUUC
This 162-nucleotide ribosomal RNA is filed under the name Phytophthora tentaculata. RNAcentral's name for it is "5.8S ribosomal RNA". The stretch from base 44 to 162 matches the Rfam family "5.8S ribosomal RNA", at positions 1 to 119 of the family's 154-position model. From Rfam's summary of the family: 5.8S ribosomal RNA (5.8S rRNA) is a component of the large subunit of the eukaryotic ribosome. It is transcribed by RNA polymerase I as part of the 45S precursor that also contains 18S and 28S rRNA. Functionally, it is thought that 5.8S rRNA may be involved in ribosome translocation. The record is from RNAcentral. Lineage: Eukaryota; Oomycota; Peronosporomycetes; Peronosporales; Peronosporaceae.